AGCUGGUUGAAUCCGGGCCAAAUUGUUAUUCAUAGCGGAGCAUUUGGUCCCCUUCAACCAGCUGU
This 65-nucleotide microRNA precursor is filed under the name Triops cancriformis. RNAcentral's name for it is "microRNA tcf-mir-133 precursor". Its record names the gene tcf-mir-133. It matches the Rfam family "mir-133 microRNA precursor family", at positions 14 to 73 of the family's 74-position model. Rfam says of the family: mir-133 was first experimentally characterised in mouse and homologues have since been discovered in several other species. The record is from miRBase by way of RNAcentral. Lineage: Eukaryota; Metazoa; Arthropoda; Branchiopoda; Notostraca; Triopsidae.